ACGGGUGAGUAACGCGUGGGUAACCUGCCUUAUACAGGGGGAUAACAGUCAGAAAUGGCUGCUAAUACCGCAUAAGCGCACAGAGCUGCAUGGCUCAGUGUGAAAAACUCCGGUGGUAUAAGAUGGACCCGCGUUGGAUUAGCUAGUUGGUUGGGUAACGGCCCACCAAGGCGACGAUCCAUAGCCGGCCUGAGAGGGUGAACGGCCACAUUGGGACUGAGACACGGCCCAGACUCCUACGGGAGGCAGCAUG
Molecule: ribosomal RNA, 253 nt
Filed under: uncultured bacterium
Lineage: Bacteria
Description: partial 16S ribosomal RNA
Rfam family: Bacterial small subunit ribosomal RNA
Source: RNAcentral